This 253-nucleotide ribosomal RNA is filed under the name uncultured bacterium. RNAcentral describes it as "partial 16S ribosomal RNA". It matches the Rfam family "Bacterial small subunit ribosomal RNA", at positions 524 to 776 of the family's 1533-position model. The record is from RNAcentral.
UACGUAGGGACCAAGCGUUGUCCGGAUUUACUGGGCGUAAAGAGCGCGCAGGCGGUCGUUCAAGUCGCGUGUGAAAGCCCCCGGCUCAACUGGGGAGGGUCACGCGAUACUGAUCGACUCGAAGGCAGGAGAGGGUAGUGGAAUUCCCGGUGUAGUGGUGAAAUGCGUAGAUAUCGGGAGGAACACCAAUGGCGAAGGCGACUACCUGGCCUGUUCUUGACGCUGAGGCGCGAAAGCUAGGGGAGCAAACGGG